RNAcentral lists this ribosomal RNA (800 nucleotides) under uncultured bacterium. Its description in RNAcentral is "bacterial SSU rRNA". It matches the Rfam family "Bacterial small subunit ribosomal RNA", at positions 8 to 788 of the family's 1533-position model. The record is from RNAcentral.
AGAGUUUGAUCCUGGCUCAGGAUGAACGCUGGCGGCGUGCCUAAUACAUGCAAGUCGAGCGAAUGGAUUAAGAGCUUGCUCUUAUGAAGUUAGCGGCGGACGGGUGAGUAACACGUGGGUAACCUGCCCAUAAGACUGGGAUAACUCCGGGAAACCGGGGCUAAUACCGGAUAACAUUUUGAACUGCAUGGUUCGAAAUUGAAAGGCGGCUUCGGCUGUCACUUAUGGAUGGACCCGCGUCGCAUUAGCUAGUUGGUGAGGUAACGGCUCACCAAGGCAACGAUGCGUAGCCGACCUGAGAGGGUGAUCGGCCACACUGGGACUGAGACACGGCCCAGACUCCUACGGGAGGCAGCAGUAGGGAAUCUUCCGCAAUGGACGAAAGUCUGACGGAGCAACGCCGCGUGAGUGAUGAAGGCUUUCGGGUCGUAAAACUCUGUUGUUAGGGAAGAACAAGUGCUAGUUGAAUAAGCUGGCACCUUGACGGUACCUAACCAGAAAGCCACGGCUAACUACGUGCCAGCAGCCGCGGUAAUACGUAGGUGGCAAGCGUUAUCCGGAAUUAUUGGGCGUAAAGCGCGCGCAGGUGGUUUCUUAAGUCUGAUGUGAAAGCCCACGGCUCAACCGUGGAGGGUCAUUGGAAACUGGGAGACUUGAGUGCAGAAGAGGAAAGUGGAAUUCCAUGUGUAGCGGUGAAAUGCGUAGAGAUAUGGAGGAACACCAGUGGCGAAGGCGACUUUCUGGUCUGUAACUGACACUGAGGCGCGAAAGCGUGGGGAGCAAACAGGAUUAGAUACCCU